This 535-nucleotide small RNA is filed under the name Pan troglodytes (chimpanzee). RNAcentral's name for it is "retained intron". The record is from RNAcentral. Lineage: Eukaryota; Metazoa; Chordata; Mammalia; Primates; Hominidae.
AGCUCGCCGAGGCGCCGAGGAGAGCGGGCCGCCCCACAGCCCAAGCCGGAGAGGGAGCGCGAGCCGCGCCGGCCCCGGUCGGGCCUCCGAAACCAUGAACUUUCUGCUGUCUUGGGUGCAUUGGAGCCUUGCCUUGCUGCUCUACCUCCACCAUGCCAAGUGGUCCCAGGCUGCACCCAUGGCAGAAGGAGGAGGGCAGAAUCAUCACGAAGUGGUGAAGUUCAUGGAUGUCUAUCAGCGCAGCUACUGCCAUCCAAUCGAGACCCUGGUGGACAUCUUCCAGGAGUACCCUGAUGAGAUCGAGUACAUCUUCAAGCCAUCCUGUGUGCCCCUGAUGCGAUGCGGGGGCUGCUGCAAUGACGAGGGCCUGGAGUGUGUGCCCACUGAGGAGUCCAACAUCACCAUGCAGAUUAUGCGGAUCAAACCUCACCAAGGCCAGCACAUAGGAGAGAUGAGCUUCCUACAGCACAACAAAUGUGAAUGCAGACCAAAGAAAGAUAGAGCAAGACAAGAAAAGUAAGUGGCCCUGACUUUA